Molecule: long non-coding RNA, 827 nt
Filed under: Homo sapiens (human)
Lineage: Eukaryota; Metazoa; Chordata; Mammalia; Primates; Hominidae
Description: non-protein coding LINC02372:19
Source: RNAcentral
UUUCACACUGGCAAGGCAGGAGGCUGUGUGCUGCCAGAACGACCAGCAGGGGGCGCAAAGGCCACGCCAGGCACCUGCUGGCCUCAGAGAAAACAGAAAGGGAACCAGGAAGCCCACUCCUGCUGUCCUUUCUCUGCAAGGAAAUGUGCCAGGGCACUGCAGCCCAGACAGUCGGCAGUAGAGGACCCAUGAAGUAUCUUUGUGCAAAGAAAGCAGCAAAGAGAAUUAAGAGAAUUGCAUCAUAUAAAGAGUGAAUUAAACCAUCUAAAGGAGCAAAAAUUCAUCAUCACAUGGACAAGAAAUUAAGACGUAACAUCCAUCUCACUAUUUGCAAAGUGGCUUAUUCCUACAGACAAUGCAGAUAUCAGCUGGAAACCUAGGAGCAGAAGCCCAGCAUAAAGAUCUCUGAAAGCCUGGAUGCGUGGAUUCCUCUCUUACUUCCCAAAACGGUGGGGUGGAAAUGUGAAUAUCAGCAUGAUGCACAGAUCUCUGCAGAUGUCCAGCGAACUGAAUUUCUAGACGCUAUAAUCUAUGUUCUUUCCCAACCCCCACUUCAGUUUACAUAUCGCAGGCCAUAGAUCCUGUUUGUUGAAAAGCGAUCAGCUAGAAAACAAGAGUGGUUAUAACCUGUGCUGCCCAGUGAUCAGGAAAAGAGAGCGGAUGAAACUUCCAUGACUUUCUGUUAGUCUGAUUAAUAUCCAUGCCAAAUGUAAGAUUAGUUAAAAGGCCUUAUUGCUUCCCACCAAAAUGUUCCUUCACUAGCUAUAUACUACACUGAAAUGUAAAGUUAUGGGUAUGUUUAACAGUUUAAUUUGUCAGUGGGCAUC